RNAcentral lists this ribosomal RNA (1431 nucleotides) under uncultured organism. Its description in RNAcentral is "16S ribosomal RNA". It matches the Rfam family "Bacterial small subunit ribosomal RNA". The record is from RNAcentral.
AGGAUGAACGCUAGCGACAGGCUUAACACAUGCAAGUCGAGGGGCAGCACAGGUAGCAAUACCGGGUGGCGACCGGCGCACGGGUGAGUAACGCGUAUGCAACUUACCUAUCAGAGGGGGAUAACCCGGCGAAAGUCGGACUAAUACCGCAUGAAGCAGGGGUCCCGCAUGGGGAUAUUUGCUAAAGAUUCAUCGCUGAUAGAUAGGCAUGCGUUCCAUUAGGCAGUUGGCGGGGUAACGGCCCACCAAACCGACGAUGGAUAGGGGUUCUGAGAGGAAGGUCCCCCACAUUGGUACUGAGACACGGACCAAACUCCUACGGGAGGCAGCAGUGAGGAAUAUUGGUCAAUGGCCGAGAGGCUGAACCAGCCAAGUCGCGUGAGGGAUGAAGGUUCUAUGGAUCGUAAACCUCUUUUAUAAGGGAAUAAAGUGCGGGACGUGUCCCGUUUUGUAUGCACCUUAUGAAUAAGGAUCGGCUAACUCCGUGCCAGCAGCCGCGGUAAUACGGAGGAUCCGAGCGUUAUCCGGAUUUAUUGGGUUUAAAGGGUGCGUAGGCGGCCUUUUAAGUCAGCGGUGAAAGUCUGUGGCUCAACCAUAGAAUUGCCGUUGAAACUGGGGGGCUUGAGUAUGUUUGAGGCAGGCGGAAUGCGUGGUGUAGCGGUGAAAUGCAUAGAUAUCACGCAGAACCCCGAUUGCGAAGGCAGCCUGCCAAGCCAUUACUGACGCUGAUGCACGAAAGCGUGGGGAUCAAACAGGAUUAGAUACCCUGGUAGUCCACGCAGUAAACGAUGAUCACUAGCUGUUUGUGAUACGCUGUAAGCGGCACAGCGAAAGCGUUAAGUGAUCCACCUGGGGAGUACGCCGGCAACGGUGAAACUCAAAGGAAUUGACGGGGGCCCGCACAAGCGGAGGAACAUGUGGUUUAAUUCGAUGAUACGCGAGGAACCUUACCCGGGUUUGAACGCAUUCGGACCGAGGUGGAAACACCUUUUCUAGCAAUAGCCGUUUGCGAGGUGCUGCAUGGUUGUCGUCAGCUCGUGCCGUGAGGUGUCGGCUUAAGUGCCAUAACGAGCGCAACCCUUGCCACUAGUUACUAACAGGUAAAGCUGAGGACUCUGGUGGGACUGCCAGCGUAAGCUGCGAGGAAGGCGGGGAUGACGUCAAAUCAGCACGGCCCUUACAUCCGGGGCGACACACGUGUUACAAUGGCGUGGACAAAGGGAAGCCACCUGGCGACAGGGAGCGAAUCCCCAAACCACGUCUCAGUUCGGAUCGGAGUCUGCAACCCGACUCCGUGAAGCUGGAUUCGCUAGUAAUCGCGCAUCAGCCAUGGCGCGGUGAAUACGUUCCCGGGCCUUGUACACACCGCCCGUCAAGCCAUGGGAGCCGGGGGUACCUGAAGUCUGUAACCGCGAGGAUCGCCCUAGGGUA